This 254-nucleotide ribosomal RNA is filed under the name uncultured bacterium. RNAcentral's name for it is "partial 16S ribosomal RNA". It matches the Rfam family "Bacterial small subunit ribosomal RNA", at positions 524 to 776 of the family's 1533-position model. The record is from RNAcentral.
UACGUAGGGUGCGAGCGUUGUCCGGAAUUAUUGGGCGUAAAGAGCUCGUAGGCGGUGUGUCACGUCGUUCGUGAAAACCUGCAGCUUAACUGUGGGCGUGCGGUCGAUACGGGCAUCACUGGAGUUCGGCAGGGGAGACUGGAAUUCCUGGUGUAGCGGUGAAAUGCGCAGAUAUCAGGAGGAACACCGGUGGCGAAGGCGGGCCUCUGGGCCGAUACUGACGCUGAGGAGCGAAAGCGUGGGGAGCAAACAGG